UACGUAGGGUGCAAGCGUUGUCCGGAAUUAUUGGGCGUAAAGAGCUUGUAGGCGGUCUGUCGCGUCUGCUGUGAAAAUCCGGGGCUCAACCCCGGACUUGCAGUGGGUACGGGCAGACUAGAGUGUGGUAGGGGAGACUGGAAUUCCUGGUGUAGCGGUGAAAUGCGUAGAUAUCAGGAGGAACACCGGUGGCGAAGGCGCUCAUCUGGCCCAAUACUGACGCUGAAGCUCGAAAGCUAGGGGAGCAAACGGG
This 253-nucleotide ribosomal RNA is filed under the name uncultured bacterium. RNAcentral describes it as "partial 16S ribosomal RNA". It matches the Rfam family "Bacterial small subunit ribosomal RNA", at positions 524 to 776 of the family's 1533-position model. The record is from RNAcentral.